This 465-nucleotide ribosomal RNA is filed under the name Vreelandella stevensii. RNAcentral describes it as "partial 16S ribosomal RNA". It matches the Rfam family "Bacterial small subunit ribosomal RNA", at positions 338 to 795 of the family's 1533-position model. Lineage: Bacteria; Pseudomonadati; Pseudomonadota; Gammaproteobacteria; Oceanospirillales; Halomonadaceae. The record is from RNAcentral.
CCUACGUGUGGCUGCAGUGGGGAAUAUUGGACAAUGGGCGAAAGCCUGAUCCAGCCAUGCCGCGUGUGUGAAGAAGGCCUUCGGGUUGUAAAGCACUUUCAGUGGGGAAGAAAGCCUUGGGGCUAAUACCCUCGAGGAAGGACAUCACCCACAGAAGAAGCACCGGCUAACUCCGUGCCAGCAGCCGCGGUAAUACGGGGGGUGCGAGCGUUAAUCGGAAUUACUGGGCGUAAAGCGCGCGUAGGCGGUCUGAUAAGCCGGUUGUGAAAGCCCCGGGCUCAACCUGGGAACGGCAUCCGGAACUGUCAGGCUAGAGUGCAGGAGAGGAAGGUAGAAUUCCCGGUGUAGCGGUGAAAUGCGUAGAGAUCGGGAGGAAUACCAGUGGCGAAGGCGGCCUUCUGGACUGACACUGACGCUGAGGUGCGAAAGCGUGGGUAGCAAACAGGAUUAGAUACCCGAGUAGUC